Molecule: ribosomal RNA, 1287 nt
Filed under: metagenome
Description: bacterial SSU rRNA
Rfam family: Bacterial small subunit ribosomal RNA
Source: RNAcentral
UAGCUAGUUGGUGAGGUAACGGCUUACCAAGGCGACGAUCUGUAGCGGGUCUGAGAGGAUGAUCCGCCACACUGGAACUGAGACACGGUCCAGACUCCUACGGGAGGCAGCAGUGGGGAAUUUUGGACAAUGGGGGCAACCCUGAUCCAGCCAUGCCGCGUGAGUGAAGAAGGCCUUCGGGUUGUAAAGCUCUUUCGGCCGGGAAGAAAUCGCAUGGGCCAAUACCCUGUGUGGAUGACGGUACCGGAAUAAGAAGCACCGGCUAACUACGUGCCAGCAGCCGCGGUAAUACGUAGGGUGCGAGCGUUAAUCGGAAUUACUGGGCGUAAAGCGUGCGCAGGCGGUUUUGUAAGACAGGCGUGAAAUCCCCGGGCUCAACCUGGGAAUUGCGUUUGUGACUGCAAGGCUAGAGUACGGCAGAGGGGGGUGGAAUUCCACGUGUAGCAGUGAAAUGCGUAGAGAUGUGGAGGAACACCAAUGGCGAAGGCAGCCCCCUGGGUCGAUACUGACGCUCAUGCACGAAAGCGUGGGUAGCAAACAGGAUUAGAUACCCUGGUAGUCCACGCCCUAAACUAUGUCAACUAGGUGUUGGGUGGGUAAAACCAUUUAGUACCGUAGCUAACGCGUGAAGUUGACCGCCUGGGGAGUACGGCCGCAAGGUUAAAACUCAAAGGAAUUGACGGGGACCCGCACAAGCGGUGGAUGAUGUGGAUUAAUUCGAUGCAACGCGAAAAACCUUACCUACCCUUGACAUGCCAGGAACUUGCCAGAGAUGGCUUGGUGCCCGAAAGGGAGCCUGGACACAGGUGCUGCAUGGCUGUCGUCAGCUCGUGUCGUGAGAUGUUGGGUUAAGUCCCGCAACGAGCGCAACCCUUGUCGUUAAUUGCCAUCAUUUAGUUGGGCACUUUAGCGAGACUGCCGGUGACAAACCGGAGGAAGGUGGGGAUGACGUCAAGUCCUCAUGGCCCUUAUGGGUAGGGCUUCACACGUCAUACAAUGGUCGGUACAAAGGGUCGCCAAGCCGCGAGGUGGAGCCAAUCCCAGAAAGCCGAUCGUAGUCCGGAUUGCAGGCUGCAACUCGCCUGCAUGAAGUCGGAAUCGCUAGUAAUCGUGGAUCAGCAUGUCGCGGUGAAUACGUUCCCGGGUCUUGUACACACCGCCCGUCACACCAUGGGAGCGGGUUCCGCCAGAAGUAGGUAGCCUAACCGCAAGGAGGGCGCUUACCACGGCGGGGUUCGUGACUGGGGUGAAGUCGUAACAAGGUAGCCGUAGGGGAUCCUGCGGCUG